AUUGAACGCUGGCGGCAGGCCUAACACAUGCAAGUCGAACGAGUGGCGGACGGGUGAGUAAUGUCUGGGAAACUGCCUGCUGGAGGGGGAUAACUACUGGACACGGUAGCUAAUACCGCAUACCAUCGGAUGUGCCCAGAUGGGAUUAGCUAGUAGGUGGGGUAAAGGCUCACCUAGGCGACGAUCCCUAGCUGGUCUCAGAGGAUGACCAGCCACACUGGAACGUAGACACGGUCCAGACUCCUACGGGAGGCAGCAGUGGGGAAUAUUGCACGAGGGGAGCAAGCCUGAUGCAGCAAUGCCGCGUGUAUGAAGAAGGCCUUCGGGUUGUAAAGUACUUUCAGCGGGGAGGCGUUACCCGCAGAAGAAGCGCCGGCUAACUCCGUUCCAGCAGCCGCGGUAAUUC
This 406-nucleotide ribosomal RNA is filed under the name uncultured bacterium. RNAcentral's name for it is "partial 16S ribosomal RNA". It matches the Rfam family "Bacterial small subunit ribosomal RNA", at positions 30 to 526 of the family's 1533-position model. The record is from RNAcentral.